GAUGAACGCUAGCUACAGGCUUAACACAUGCAAGUCGAGGGGCAGCAUGAUUGAAGCUUGCUUCAAUCGAUGGCGACCGGCGCACGGGUGAGUAACACGUAUCCAACCUGCCGAUAACUCGGGGAUAGCCUUUCGAAAGAAAGAUUAAUACCCGAUAGUAUAGUAUUUCCGCAUGGUUUCACUAUUAAAGAACUUCGGUUAUCGAUGGGGAUGCGUUCCAUUAGAUAGUUGGCGGGGUAACGGCCCACCAAGUCAACGAUGGAUAGGGGUUCUGAGAGGAAGGUCCCCCACAUUGGAACUGGGACACGGUCCAAACGCCUACGGGAGGCAGCAGUGAGGAAUAUUGGUCAGUGGACGAGAGUCUGAACCAGCCAAGUAGCGUGAAGGAUGGCUGCCCUAUGGGUUGUAAACUUCUUUUAUACGGGAAUAAAGUGGAGUAUGCAUACUCCUUUGUAUGUACCGUAUGAAUAAGGAUCGGCUAACUCCGUG
Molecule: ribosomal RNA, 489 nt
Filed under: uncultured bacterium
Lineage: Bacteria
Description: partial 16S ribosomal RNA
Rfam family: Bacterial small subunit ribosomal RNA
Source: RNAcentral